CAGGGAAUUGCACUCCUUUCAGGACUCAUGUGCAGACACCGGUAACACAACAGGGCCUUGAUUACUGGAAACUCAAGAAGAAGCGCGGAGUAUCAUUUAGGGAGAGUAUAAAUGCCGCUCUCGGUUUAGCUUAUCUUCAUCAUCUUAUCCCAUGAAGCCGUUCCUCAUCCCAGCAUCUCUGUCAUGAUUAUCUGUAUACAUUGUGACUAAAAGAACGCUUGACUAAAAGUGAGAAAAAUCCAACUCAAAGUAUGAAAAAAGGAAAAUUAUUAUCACACAGAGUUUCUAGAUCAGCUGAGAACAACCUGAGUAAUAAACCAAAACCAAAGUCUGGAAAUCACCAAUUCAAAGGAAAGAGGCAAAGGGAAGAAUCCAGUCCAGUGAUCCUCUCUUCCUCCAGGUCACUAAUCUGGCUCCAGAGCUGACCCACAGAAUUGAAGACUAACAGCAACAAAGACUUCACUAACCAAUGAUACAGAUAAUGGAAGUGAGGAAUUCAGUUAGAAGAUCUUCUCUCCAGGGACCUUUUGGACACAGAGCCUUAAACCAAAGGAAUGGCUGCAAAUCCUGGUCGUUUUCCAGUAUGGUGAUAAAUUGGUAGGGAAGAAAUUAUAGGCCAGGAACCAGAGCCAUCCCAUAAGUGCC
Molecule: long non-coding RNA, 645 nt
Organism: Heterocephalus glaber (naked mole-rat)
Lineage: Eukaryota; Metazoa; Chordata; Mammalia; Rodentia; Bathyergidae
Source: Ensembl